RNAcentral lists this ribosomal RNA (433 nucleotides) under uncultured bacterium. Its description in RNAcentral is "partial 16S ribosomal RNA". It matches the Rfam family "Bacterial small subunit ribosomal RNA", at positions 29 to 507 of the family's 1533-position model. The record is from RNAcentral.
AACGAACGCUGGCGGCAUGCCUAACACAUGCAAGUCGAACGAGACCUUCGGGUCUAGUGGCGCACGGGUGCGUAACGCGUGGGAACCUGCCCUUAGGUUCGGAAUAACUCCCCGAAAGGGGUGCUAAUACCGGAUAAUGUCUUCGGACCAAAGAUUUAUCGCCUUUGGAUGGGCCGGCGUUGGUUUAGCUAGUUGGUAGGGUAAAAGCCUACCAAGGCGACGAUCCAUAGCUGGUUUGAGAGGAUGAUCAGCCACACUGAGACUGAGACACGGCCCAGACUCCUACGGGAGGCAGCAGUGGGGAAUAUUGGACAAUGGGCGAAAGCCUGAUCCAGCAAUGCCGCGUGAGUGAUGAAGGCCUUAGAGUUGUAAAGCUCUUUUACCCGGGAUGAUAAUGACAGUACCGGGAGAAUAAGCUCCGGCUAACUCCGUG